AACAUUUAUAUUUAUAACUGAAUUAGGUAUACUAUGCUCUCAGGUAUAUACACAUUUGCCAGUAGCAAUAAUUUCCAUUUAUUAUAUAUAGUGACUUUUGAUAAUUUCACUUCUGUUUCCACACUUAGAGUGCACACACUCUAACUGGCAUUUCUAAUGGAUUAUUCACCUUUCUCUCAGGUAGCAAAGUUAACUUUCAAGUGUAAGAGAACAGACAGUUAUGGACUUUAUCAAAUCAAAGUGAUGCAUCUUUGGUCAUAUUAUGUUGGAUUUCAGCAUCAGAUAAGGUAGUCAAAUCAGUUCAAAAUCAGCAUGAAUUGAGGACUGAAUACUGGUUCAAAACAACUGAUACAUUUUUUACUAAGAAUACAGAAUAGAGAAUGUAAGGGUUCCAUAUGUUGUCAGUGUUUCCAUGUUAUCUUACAUUUGAAUCACUGUAAAACUUUGACAGUUCAAAAUGUAGUUAUUAGAGGAAAAAAUUCCAAGUCACCCAAGUAUAAGAUUCCUGGAACUUGAGAAGUACAAGAUUUACUUCUCAUCAAGAGGAACGAACUUUCAACCUUAAUGCAGUUAAAUGAGAACUCAAACUACUGUGCUAUUGAACACAGUAAGAGUGCCCAUGCAGGCUGUUCUUGGAAUUGAAUGUUGUUUUCUGGGAAACUAGUGGUGUUCAAGUUAAAGCAUCCAAAUUUCAGCUCACUUCUAGUGUCUAACAUUUAAUUUCUUUUGGAUGGUUCAAGCCCUUCAGUUUUGUCCAGCCAGCUAGUAAGAAUAAAUAUUCAUUUGAAUAUUGAGGUCAAAUCCGGAGCUCAAUCCCUCUGCUUUGUGAAAAUGGAAAUCUCAUUUCUUUCAGAUGUCAGAAAUUCUGAGCAGUUCCAGUUGCUCAUCAUCACAACCACUGAUGCCAUACACCUCACUGGGCAUUCGGUUUCCUUUUGGGAAAUUCACUGUCUUCUCUUGGAAGUGUUACAGAGACAACUGAGGAAGAUGUAUGGAAUUUAUUACUUCUUUUCCCUAUUCCAGUACACUCCAGGCCUAUUAAGUAUUGGCAAAGUUCUGGUAAGAAACUUUAAGAACUCCCUUAUAUUUUUAAGUGCUUCAUUUUGGUAUUCCACUAAGAGUUUUUUGGCAUCUUACACUUACUCUGUUGGUGAAGAUGCCUUUACUCAGAGUGGGUUAUCUACCUACAAGCCAUCUGUGUUGUAA
This 1206-nucleotide long non-coding RNA is filed under the name Numida meleagris (helmeted guineafowl). Its description in RNAcentral is "lncRNA (ENSNMEG00000022941.1)". Lineage: Eukaryota; Metazoa; Chordata; Aves; Galliformes; Numididae. The record is from RNAcentral.